Molecule: ribosomal RNA, 542 nt
Filed under: uncultured archaeon
Lineage: Archaea
Description: bacterial SSU rRNA
Rfam family: Archaeal small subunit ribosomal RNA
Source: RNAcentral
CGGGGUGCAGCAGGCGCGAAAACUUUACAAUGCUGGCAACAGCGAUAAGGGGACCUCGAGUGCCAGGAUACAAUCUUGGCUGUCGCGAUGCCUAAAAAGCAUUGCAUAGCAAGGGCCGGGCAAGACCGGUGCCAGCCGCCGCGGUAACACCGGCGGCUCGAGUGGUAACCGCUAUUAUUGGGUCUAAAGGGUCUGUAGCCGGCCGGAUAAGUCUUUUGGGAAAUCCAGCUGCUCAACAGUUGGGCUUUCAGAAGAUACUGUUCGGCUCGAGACCGGGAGAGGUGAGAGGUACUUCAGGGGUAGGGGUGAAAUCUUGUAAUCCUUGAAGGACCACCAGUGGCGAAGGCGUCUCACCAGAACGGAUCUGACGGCAAGGGACGAAAGCUAGGGGCACGAACCGGAUUAGAUACCCGGGUAGUCCUAGCCGUAAACGAUACUCGCUAGGUGUCAGCCACGGUGCGACCGUGGUUGGUGCCGUAGGGAAGCCGUGAAGCGAGCCACCUGGGAAGUACGGCCGCAUGGCUGAAACUUAAAGGAAUGGC